GCUAGUAAUCACAGGUCAGCAUACUGUGGUGAAUACGUUCCCGGGCCUUGUACACACCGCCCGUCACACCAUGAGAGUUGAGAAUACCCGAAGUCCAUGUCAAAGUGGCCGAAGGUAGGCUUGAUGAUUGGGGUGAAGUCGUAACAAGGUACC
RNAcentral lists this ribosomal RNA (153 nucleotides) under uncultured bacterium. RNAcentral describes it as "partial 16S ribosomal RNA". It matches the Rfam family "Bacterial small subunit ribosomal RNA", at positions 1334 to 1500 of the family's 1533-position model. The record is from RNAcentral.